Molecule: ribosomal RNA, 599 nt
Filed under: uncultured bacterium
Lineage: Bacteria
Description: bacterial SSU rRNA
Rfam family: Bacterial small subunit ribosomal RNA
Source: RNAcentral
UUCCGUGACGCAGCUAACGCAUUAAGUUCCCCGCCUGGGGAGUACGGCCGCAAGGCUAAAACUCAAAGGAAUUGACGGGGACCCGCACAAGCGGCGGAGCAUGCGGAUUAAUUCGAUGCAACGCGAAGAACCUUACCAAGGCUUGACAUAUAGAGGAAACGUCUGGAAACAGUCGCCCCGCAAGGUCUCUAUACAGGUGGUGCAUGGUUGUCGUCAGCUCGUGUCGUGAGAUGUUGGGUUAAGUCCCGCAACGAGCGCAACCCUCGUUCUAUGUUGCCAGCACGUAAUGGUGGGAACUCAUGGGAUACUGCCGGGGUCAACUCGGAGGAAGGUGGGGAUGACGUCAAAUCAUCAUGCCCCUUAUGUCUUGGGCUUCACGCAUGCUACAAUGGCCGGUACAAAGGGCUGCAAUACCGUAAGGCGGAGCGAAUCCCAAAAAGCCGGUCCCAGUUCGGAUUGAGGUCUGCAACUCGACCUCAUGAAGUCGGAGUCGCUAGUAAUCGCAGAUCCAGCAACGCUGCGGUGAAUACGUUCCCGGGUCUUGUACACACCGCCCGUCAAGUCAUGAAAGUCGGUAACACCUGAAGCGGUGGCCCAAC